Molecule: long non-coding RNA, 879 nt
Organism: Eriocheir sinensis (Chinese mitten crab)
Lineage: Eukaryota; Metazoa; Arthropoda; Malacostraca; Decapoda; Varunidae
Exons: 2
Source: RefSeq, a predicted model, not a curated record
GAAACACUCCACUAUCCACCACAGAGGCAGAGAAAGACCUGGGGGUGUAUGUUAUUAGGCUACCAGUGAAAGGAUAUCCAGCACACCAAUACCACAUGGGAAACACUCCACUAUCCACCACAGAGGCAGAGAAAGACAUGGGAGUGUAUGUUACCAGGCUACCAAUGAAUGCAAAAUCCGUGCCAAUCGCAGUGGAUGGGUCAAUGUUAUGCCAUCAACAACCACAAGGACUAACCCGACCUUACCCAAGCCAUCAGUGUAAGAGCUCUGUAGAAUUUAACCCCUUCAACACGAGGACGCGUAUACUGCAUCCUUGCGUGCCUCGUACCACAUCCGAGGACGUGCAUACUGCGUCCUAGCUCGCUUUAGCCAAUAAACGAGUUAUUUUAUUUCUAUAUGCGUACAUCUCAAAAUUAUCAAUUAAUUUGUUUCUUUAUGUGCCCCAUUUAAUUCUGCAUGUUUUCAUAUGUAAUACAUGAUGAUUAUGUUGAGUUUAUGGCUGAAAACUUGUUAUAUUUAAUAGCGACAUUUGAAAUUUGGUGCGCGCAGCAAUCCCGGAUACGGUGCAGGGCGCUGUUUUGGCCCGGCCGUAGUGAAGGGGUUAACUGUAAGCUCCUCACAAUAUUACCACAACUCACACAUUACCAAGCCUAAUACUACAUACACCUUUCUUUUGGACACUCUUUACUUUUGUCUAUUAAGGGAGCAGUGAGUAGCAGGCUUUUUUUUUCUCUGCACUCUUUUUGUUGCCCUUGAGCCGUCUCCUUUGCUGUAAAAAAAUAAAAAAAUAAAUAGAAGACUGAUUGCCAUGUUGGUUACUCACAGUGCCGGCAGUGUCCAGAAUCUCCAGCAUGCACUGUUGUCCGUCCACCUCCACCU